UGGUGAUCCUGUCCUUGCUUCCCUG
This 25-nucleotide non-coding RNA is filed under the name Mus musculus (house mouse). The record is from RNAcentral. Lineage: Eukaryota; Metazoa; Chordata; Mammalia; Rodentia; Muridae.